GGUGGGAAGGAGCUGAGGGUCUGGUGGUGAUUACAGAGAGCCUGCGGCCUGAAACCAGACACAGACGCUGUCCCCUCGGACCGCCCCACUGGGAGCUUUGCCACAUGGACCUGCCCAUCCCUGGGUGUACCGUCUCAGGGGCAGCACAGCUAAGGAGGGUCCCCUCUGCCACUCCACCCUGACCUGCUGUCCCUCGUGUACCGUCAUGAGGCAGGGAAGAAUAGAGCGGACGUGGUCACGAGGAAACUGAGUGUGUGAUGAUGUGCCUCCACGAGACAUACAAGAGCAGAAAGGACCUCGACGCUGACACGUCUCCAUCAAUGUCGUUGUCACUUUGCCUGUGUGCAUCUUCAUUUUCCCAGAGGGAACUGCAAACACCUGGAGGCAGGGAAACCUCCGCCCGAAUGCACCCUGUACUUGUCACGGAUGUUUUCCAGCUUACUCCUUCUGCAGGGAGAUCGUUCCUCUUCAGCCGGAAGAGCCAGCACAGCGCCAGUGGUAGCACUAGUUGGAGCUGCUCUGACGGCUCAAGGGGCUCAGAUCCCACCACCAAGAAAUCAGGCAGCAGGCAAUGAGGCACGGACAGCGCCAGCCCUUCUGAAGAUUACCCCGAAACACCAGAUUCAUUCUGAGAUCCUGACGGAGAUCCCCGGGCGUUAAAAAUGUGUGUUCUGAUACUAAAUUAAAGAAAGGUUGUGUAUCCAAAGGUUAAGUAUCUUGACAGAAUUUUUCUAAAAGCAAAACCUCUCUGUGGAACCCUUAAAACUAAUUCAAAAUGACUUUCAAAUCAGGAGGGAAAGGACCAGGUGUCCUACCAGCUGGCUCUUCCCAGACCCGAGGCACGAGGCCCCCAUGUGGCUAAGGGUCCUGGGACUGAGGUGGUCUCCCUGACAGGCCCCGGGGCGCCGCGCUCACCGAGGCGGGGUCUCACCCUCGUGGGGUGGCCCCCGUGGGCCUCCUCAUGUGACAUGGCUGUUGGAUAAUCACUUGGGCAAC
Trichechus manatus latirostris (Florida manatee) is the source of this 996-nucleotide long non-coding RNA. RefSeq lists it as uncharacterized. Lineage: Eukaryota; Metazoa; Chordata; Mammalia; Sirenia; Trichechidae. The record is from RefSeq and is a predicted model, not a curated record. The transcript has 3 exons.